This 90-nucleotide ribosomal RNA is filed under the name Bacillus halotolerans. Its description in RNAcentral is "partial 23S ribosomal RNA". It matches the Rfam family "Bacterial large subunit ribosomal RNA", at positions 2839 to 2925 of the family's 2925-position model. The record is from RNAcentral. Lineage: Bacteria; Bacillati; Bacillota; Bacilli; Caryophanales; Bacillaceae.
GAAAGAUGAUCAGGUUGAUAGGUCUGAGGUGGAAGUGUGGCGACACAUGGAGCUGACAGAUACUAAUCGAUCGAGGACUUAACCUAAUUU